This 51-nucleotide transfer RNA is filed under the name Pomphorhynchus tereticollis. RNAcentral's name for it is "tRNA-Ser". Lineage: Eukaryota; Metazoa; Acanthocephala; Palaeacanthocephala; Echinorhynchida; Pomphorhynchidae. The record is from RNAcentral.
GCUUGCUUGCCAGGUGGGUAGGCUUUGAAAGCUUAUAAUAGAAAGCAGGUG